RNAcentral lists this ribosomal RNA (253 nucleotides) under uncultured bacterium. Its description in RNAcentral is "partial 16S ribosomal RNA". It matches the Rfam family "Bacterial small subunit ribosomal RNA", at positions 524 to 776 of the family's 1533-position model. The record is from RNAcentral.
UACGGAGGGUGCGAGCGUUAAACGGAAUUAUUGGGCGUAAAGAGCUCGUAGGCGGUUUGUCGCGUCUGCUGUGAAAACGCGAGGCUCAACCUCGCGCCUGCAGUGGGUACGGGCAGACUAGAGUGCGGUAGGGGAGAUUGGAAUUCCUGGUGUAGCGGUGGAAUGCGCAGAUAUCAGGAGGAACACCGAUGGCGAAGGCAGAUCUCUGGGCCGUAACUGACGCUGAGGAGCGAAAGCGUGGGGAGCGAACAGG